This is a long non-coding RNA of Salvia splendens (bonfire salvia), 1157 nucleotides long. RefSeq lists it as uncharacterized. The record is from RefSeq and is a predicted model, not a curated record. The transcript has 2 exons. Lineage: Eukaryota; Viridiplantae; Streptophyta; Magnoliopsida; Lamiales; Lamiaceae.
UCUAGCUACUCAUGUUCAAAGAUGAAACAAAAAGAAAAACAAAGCAAAUGAAAGAAAACAUGGAUAGAAAAUGGAAACUAGAACUCCCUAUGGUAGAAAUGAUGGUGGAGAGUCUUCUCCUUCAAUCUCUUGAGAGGGGAAGCUCCUAAGCCUUCAAAUCCGCUUCAAAACCUUGCUUUCUUGCUUAAUUUCGUCGUGUGGGAGUUAGGGCUCAGAUGUGUGAAGUCCCCUUUUAUACUUGGAGUGAAAAUCAGGGUUAAAUGAGUAAUCAGUCAAAACACCCGGCCGGGUGAUCUGUAGGUGGCUAAACACCCGGACGGGUCUUCUCUCUGGAGCCCGUCAAUUCUUCCAAACACACGACCGGGUCUUUUUGGAAAUGGAAAACACCCGGCCGGGUCUUCUAUCUAGAAUCCUGCUCAAAAUCAGCCUCGGCUCGUUUCAACCUGUUUUCAUCACAAAACUACGACAAACUCAUUAACUCACUUAAUUAGUGUAUAUGUGGUGAAAAACCUAUAUUAAACACCUUAAAUCAUCAAAAUCAUUAUCUAAUCACCCAUAAAACAAUCCUAAAAUAUGAGUUUGUCAGCGGAUCACGAGUGUGAGCCGCUGGAUUGAAUGUCUGUUUGUGUGGUGUUAAACCAAACCUCGCCUCUCAUUCACUCAUUCUCACUCUCUCUCUCUUCGGAUUAAGGCUCUUCACUCUCUCCGUCUCCUCUCUCCCCGAUCGUCUUCUCCUGUCGUUUCUCUUGUUUUUCUGGUGAGAUCGGCCGGUGUAAUCCCUAGCAGAAGCAACUCAUUCGGUUGCUUUGUGAAAUCCAGCGCUAGAUCUGACUUUUGGUUGGGUCUGCUAUGCUGGAGCGGGGUUUCUUCGGUGCUUGCGUGAGAUCGGAGAGUUUCUUGUAUUCUAGUGAUCUUUCUGUGAGAGGUUGAUUGAUUCGUAUGUUUAAGACGGCCGUGGUGUGCAGUAAUCGGUAAUACUUUGGAAUUGUAGCUUGAGGUUCAGAACUGGUUGAAGGAUAUGAAUUUAGCCGGGGUUUAAUAUUUGUAUCUUGUAUUAGAUUUAGAUUGUGUAAUUCUUACUACUUUUGUAUUUGUUGUGCUCUAGUGUGAGAUUGACCAUCUCACUAUUGCGAAAUAAUACAAAGAGGUCCUUAUAA